RNAcentral lists this ribosomal RNA (481 nucleotides) under Blastocystis sp. RNAcentral's name for it is "SSU rRNA". It matches the Rfam family "Eukaryotic small subunit ribosomal RNA", at positions 460 to 952 of the family's 1831-position model. Lineage: Eukaryota; Bigyra; Opalinata; Blastocystidae. The record is from RNAcentral.
GGAGGUAGUGACAAUAAAUCACAAUGCGGAACAAUGUUUUGCAAUUGGAUUGAGAACAACGUACAAACCUUAUCGAUAAACAAUUGGAGGGCAAGUCUGGUGCCAGCAGCCGCGGUAAUUCCAGCUCCAAUAGCGUAUAUUAACGUUGUUGCAGUUAAAAAGCUCGUAGUUGAAAUGAAGGGUAGUUGUGUAAUGAAUACAUUCGUGUAUUUUGUUAUUCUACUACCCUCCUUCUAAAUUCGAUAUAUGAGUAUUAAUUUACUUGUAUAUGGUUUUAGACGUUUACUGUGAGAAAAUUAGAGUGUUCAAAGCAGGCAUUUGCUUGAAUAUAUUAGCAUGGAAUAAUCAUGUAUGAUUUUCAUGAUGUAUUUGAUUGGUUUGGUUCAUGAGAAUAAGAUUAAAAGGGACAGUUGGGGGUAUUCAUAUUCAAUAGUCAGAGGUGAAAUUCUCGGAUUUAUGGAAGAUGAACAAUGGCGAAAGC